CAGUCGCCGCGGGAAUACGAAGGGUGCAAGCGUUAAUCGGAAUUACUGGGCGUAAAGCGUGCGUAGGCGGUGAGUUAAGUCUGCUGUGAAAUCCCCGGGCUUAACCUGGGAAUGGCAGUGGAUACUGGCUCGCUAGAGUGUGUCAGAGGAUGGUGGAAUUCCCGGUGUAGCGGUGAAAUGCGUAGAGAUCGGGAGGAACAUCAGUGGCGAAGGCGACCACCUGGACUGAUACUGACACUGAGGUGCGAAAGCGUGGGGAGCAAACAGGAUUAGAUACCCGCGUAGUCCCUGUCUCUUAUAA
Molecule: ribosomal RNA, 301 nt
Filed under: uncultured bacterium
Lineage: Bacteria
Description: partial 16S ribosomal RNA
Rfam family: Bacterial small subunit ribosomal RNA
Source: RNAcentral